AUCUUUGUCAGUGACAGCAUGGAGAACACAGCAGCUUGUCUUAGAACCAUGGCCUUGCCACAGUGGGGCAGAAAGGGACCACCGUUCUUAGCACUCACCUCCUCCUCCUCCUCCCUCAUGCAGAGCUUGUGAGCACCCGUGCCCCUGAAGCUACUCAACAGACAAAAGUAUCGUAGGUGUCGCAUGCUGUGUCAUCAGACAUACUGACACAGGUUACAGCCUCGGUGUGGAGCCAGCUGCUAGUGGGUUGUCUCUUGGCGGCCGGGAGGCUACAGUCCUGGGCUCCCAUCUCUCACAGUCCAGAGCUUCAAAUGCCCCAGGACCACCGGGUUCGCCGCCGCCACUCCCUCCAGCUGCGCGGCUCCUGCAGCAAGAGCCUCCACCUCCCGCGCGCGGAGAGACACGGUCGCUUCCCCCCAUCCCCCCAGCCUUUGGAGCGUUCCCGGCCCUCACCCCAGAUCCUGAGCAGACCACUACCCUGCCCAAAGCCUGGGCAGCCUCGGGGCCCGGGAGGGGGCGGCUGGCUCGCAAAGUUCCUGCAAGCAGCAGCACCUCGAGCUCGCCGCGAGCCAGAGAGCAUCUUUAUGCAACUUUAUGUCCAAGUGAAAGCGCGCUGCUCAGCGUGCGCGCACGCGCACACACGCAUUUACACGCACCACACACUUCCAUGCAUCCACUUACACACUUAGCGCUGGACCGAAAACUUGGGCACUCCUUCACUCCUGGGAUCCCACUGUCAAGAUGACCCGCCUGAACUUUUUGCAGCUCUUGCCGAAGUCCCCCCUUUCCCUGUUCCUCCCCCCUACUGUCUCCCCCCAAGUCCCACCAGGACUAACCUGUGGAAUCCAUGUCGGGUUCCUCCAGUAACCCACAAUGCAUGCUCUUCCCAUGGACAGCA
Mesocricetus auratus (golden hamster) is the source of this 898-nucleotide long non-coding RNA. RefSeq lists it as uncharacterized. The transcript has 2 exons. Lineage: Eukaryota; Metazoa; Chordata; Mammalia; Rodentia; Cricetidae. The record is from RefSeq and is a predicted model, not a curated record.